AGAGUUUGAUCAUGGCUCAGAUUGAACGCUGGCGGCGUGCCUAACACAUGCAAGUCGAGCGGUAACAGGUGUAGCAAUACAUGCUGACGAGCGGCGAACGGGUGAGUAAUGCUUUGGAAUCUUCCCAGUAGUGGGGAAUAACCAGUCGAAAGAUUGGCUAAUACCGCAUACGUCGGAAACGGGAAAGCGGGGGAUCGUAAGACCUCGCGCUAUUGGAUGAGCCAAAGUCGGAUUAGCUAGUUGGUGAGGUAGCGGCUCACCAAGGCGACAAUCCGUAGCUGGUCUGAGAGGACGACCAGCCACACCGGAACUGAGACACGGUCCGGACUCCUACGGGAGGCAGCAGUGGGGAAUAUUGGACAAUGGGGGAAACCCUGAUCCAGCGACGCCGCGUGUGUGAAGAAGGCCUGCGGGUUGUAAAGCACUUUUAGUGGGGACAAAAAGUCACGGGCUAACACCUUGUGAUCUUGAUUUAACUCACAGAAAAAGCACCGGCUAACUCUGUGCCAGCAGCCGCGGUAAUACAGAGGGUGCGAGCGUUAAUCGGAAUUACUGGGCGUAAAGCGCGCGUAGACGGUUUUGUAAGUCAGGUGUGAAAUCCCCGGGCUCAACCUGGGAACUGCAUUUGAAACUGCAUGGCUAGAGUAUCGAAGAGGGAAGUGGAAUUUCCGGUGUAGCGGUGAAAUGCGUAGAUAUCGGAAGGAACACCAGUGGCGAAAGCGACUUCCUGGUCGAAUACUGACGUUCAUGUGCGAAAGCGUGGGGAGCAAACAGGAUUAGAUACCCUAGUAGUCC
Molecule: ribosomal RNA, 795 nt
Filed under: uncultured bacterium
Lineage: Bacteria
Description: bacterial SSU rRNA
Rfam family: Bacterial small subunit ribosomal RNA
Source: RNAcentral